GGCUCCUUCGUCUAGUGGUCCAGGACGUCUGGUUCUCAUCCAGAAAAUCGCGGGUUCGACUCCCGCAGGAGUCACCA
RNAcentral lists this transfer RNA (77 nucleotides) under Candidatus Saccharimonadota bacterium. Its description in RNAcentral is "tRNA-Glu". It matches the Rfam family "tRNA". Rfam says of the family: Transfer RNA (tRNA) molecules are approximately 80 nucleotides in length. Their secondary structure includes four short double-helical elements and three loops (D, anti-codon, and T loops). The record is from RNAcentral. RNAcentral also lists the same sequence under 3 other names. Lineage: Bacteria; Candidatus Saccharimonadota.